GCGGAGGAAAGAAACCACAGGGAUUGCCUAGUAACGGCGAGUGAAGCGGCACAGCUCAAAUUUGAAAUCUGGCUUCGGCCCGAGUUGUAAUUUGCAGAGGAAGCUUUAGGCGCGGCACUCGUGAGUCCCUGGAACGGGGCGCCACAGAGGGUGAGAGCCCCGUAUAGUUGGAUGCCUAGCCUGUGUAAAGCUCCUUCGACGAGUCGAGUAGUUUGGGAAUGCUGCUCAAAAUGGGAGGUAAAUUUCUUCUAAAGCUAAAUACCGGCCAGAGACCGAUAGCGCACAAGUAGAGUGAUCGAAAGAUGAAAAGCACUUUGAAAAGAGGGUUAAAUAGCACGUGAAAUUGUUGAAAGGGAAGCGCUUGUGACCAGACUUGCGCCGGGCUGAUCAUCCGGUGUUCUCACCGGUGCACUCUGCCCGGCUCAGGCCAGCAUCGGUUCUCGCGGGGGGAUAAAGGCCCUGGGAACGUAGCUCCUCCGGGAGUGUUAUAGCCCGGGGCGCAAUGCCCUCGCGGGGACCGAGGUUCGCGCUCUGCAAGGAUGCUGGCGUAAUGGUCAUCAGCGACCCGUCUUGAAACACGGACCAAGGAGUCAAGGUUUUGCGCGAGUGUUUGGGUGUAAAACCCGCACGCGUAAUGAAAGUGAACGUAGGUGAGAGCUUCGGCGCAUCAUCGACCGAUCCUGAUGUUCUCGGAUGGAUUUGAGUAGGAGCGUUAAGCCUUGGACCCGAAAGAUGGUGAACUAUGCUUGGAUAGGGUGAAGCCAGAGGAAACUCUGGUGGAGGCUCGCAGCGGUUCUGACGUGCAAAUCGAUCGUCAAAUCUGAGCAUGGGGGCGAAAGA
RNAcentral lists this ribosomal RNA (840 nucleotides) under Chaetomium sp. HMUABO 823002. RNAcentral's name for it is "eukaryotic LSU rRNA". It matches the Rfam family "Eukaryotic large subunit ribosomal RNA", at positions 50 to 930 of the family's 3401-position model. The record is from RNAcentral. Lineage: Eukaryota; Fungi; Ascomycota; Sordariomycetes; Sordariales; Chaetomiaceae.